RNAcentral lists this ribosomal RNA (429 nucleotides) under Triticum aestivum (bread wheat). Its description in RNAcentral is "partial small subunit ribosomal RNA". Lineage: Eukaryota; Viridiplantae; Streptophyta; Magnoliopsida; Poales; Poaceae. The record is from RNAcentral.
AUGGGCGUGUCUGUUUCUAGACGAAAUCCGGAUAAAAUGGACAUCUGUUUAGGGUGGUGCCUUGGAGUUGCCCUAGCAACCCCGUCCACGAAAUCAAUCGAAGCAAAAAAAAAAAAAACACACACACACACAAGCCCGUCUCCCGUCUCCUUCUCCCAUAAGACCGAAGCCGAGGGGAGGUUUUAUUACGAACAAACAGGGCAUCAAAGCCAGGACCAGGAAGCCAACACACACAAACACACACACACACACACCAACACCCUCCAAGGCCAAGGCGAUAGCGAGCGCGAGGGCGCCCCCGCCCGCGUUGGAGACUCGACUCGACGAGAGGGGCCGACGCGGGAAGGGAACCGCCGCGAACCCGGGGAGAGCAAGCUCGCGACGCCUCCGCCGGGAAGGACCGUCGCCGCCGCGGAUCUCUCGAUCUGA